UAGGCAAUAUGCAGGCUGACUUUCUUCUCCACACUUUACAGGAGAGUUCUAGUUCUGUGAUGGGAGGUGCACCCUCUGUGGAGCAAGUUCAACAGGAAUCCCCCGUGCUAUCACAAGAAUACAUGGAGGAAAAGGAACAGCAUGUUUCUGAACUCCUGUGGGACCCUCUUGUCAGCGUGGACACUGAGGAAUCUGAAGGACCAC
Long non-coding RNA from Ornithodoros turicata, 204 nucleotides. RefSeq lists it as uncharacterized. The transcript is spliced from 3 exons. NCBI's taxonomy places the organism in Eukaryota, Metazoa, Arthropoda, Arachnida, Ixodida, Argasidae. The record is from RefSeq and is a predicted model, not a curated record.